Non-coding RNA from Hypoxylon fuscum, 103 nucleotides. The record is from the annotation of a GenBank genome assembly. Lineage: Eukaryota; Fungi; Ascomycota; Sordariomycetes; Xylariales; Hypoxylaceae.
GCCUGCUUGGCACAGCGGUAUGCGCCUCUAGUACAGCAGAAUCUGUUUGCUUGCUACCGUGGAAGCGAUGAGGAGAUGACUGGUUCGACUCCAGUAGUGGGCA